GGUUUAGGGAUUCUAGACCUGGAAAUCAUGAAUAUUGCUCUGUUAUCUAAAUGGUUAUGGAAAUUCUUUAAUGAGGAAAGUUUAUGGCAAAGAUUGUUAUGGGAUAAAUAUAUAGGGAAUUCCACCUUUGGACAGGUUAGUGAAAAACAGGGUGACUCACAUUUUUGGCAGGGGCUGCUGAAAUGCAAAGACUUGUUUCUAACCUAUUGCAGAUUUAAGAUAGGUGAUGGGAAGAAAACUAGAUUUUGGGAAGACGUAUGGAUUGGAAAACAAAAACUGUCGGAUGCUUUCCCUAAUCUAUACAAUGUCUCAAUCAAUCAACACAUUACUGUUUAUGAAUCCAUCUCUUCUAACCUGGCUAUUCUUCAAUUUAGAAGAGCGCUGGUGGGGGAAAGAGCAGCUCAAUGGCUAGAGCUGGUGGAAAUUUGUAGGCAAGUCAAGUUAAACAAUGAUAAAGAUAAGUUGCAUUGGAUACCUGACGUAUCAUGGGAGUUUAGUGUGAAAUCCUUUUAUUUUGUUUUAAAGUUGGGGAAAAAAUGUCCCGAUAGAUUCCUAUGGAAAGUUAAAAUCCCUACGAAAAUCAAAACAUUUGUCUGGUUAGUUAUGAAAAUAAGUAUAUUGACUAGAGAUAUUUUGUUAUAUAGAGGAGGAAAAUGUGAAGAGAAAUGUGUUUUCUGCGAUGGAAAAUAA
Molecule: ribosomal RNA, 690 nt
Filed under: Triticum aestivum (bread wheat)
Lineage: Eukaryota; Viridiplantae; Streptophyta; Magnoliopsida; Poales; Poaceae
Description: partial small subunit ribosomal RNA
Source: RNAcentral